Molecule: transfer RNA, 100 nt
Filed under: Echinostoma caproni
Lineage: Eukaryota; Metazoa; Platyhelminthes; Trematoda; Plagiorchiida; Echinostomatidae
Rfam family: tRNA
About the family: Transfer RNA (tRNA) molecules are approximately 80 nucleotides in length. Their secondary structure includes four short double-helical elements and three loops (D, anti-codon, and T loops). Further hydrogen bonds mediate the characteristic L-shaped molecular structure. tRNAs have two regions of fundamental functional importance: the anti-codon, which is responsible for specific mRNA codon recognition, and the 3' end, to which the tRNAs corresponding amino acid is attached (by aminoacyl-tRNA synthetases). tRNAs cope with the degeneracy of the genetic code in two manners: having more than one tRNA (with a specific anti-codon) for a particular amino acid; and 'wobble' base-pairing, i.e. permitting non-standard base-pairing at the 3rd anti-codon position.
Source: Rfam by way of RNAcentral
GUCAGGGUGGCCGAAAGGUCCAAGACAUCAAACUCAACAGUAAUCUACUAAGUGUUCUGGUCCACGAAUAUGGGCGUGGGUUCGAAUCCCACCUCUGACA